RNAcentral lists this ribosomal RNA (253 nucleotides) under uncultured bacterium. RNAcentral's name for it is "partial 16S ribosomal RNA". It matches the Rfam family "Bacterial small subunit ribosomal RNA", at positions 524 to 776 of the family's 1533-position model. The record is from RNAcentral.
UACGGAGGGUGCAAGCGUUAUCCGGAUUCACUGGGUUUAAAGGGUGCGUAGGUGGGUUGGUAAGUCAGUGGUGAAAUCUCCGAGCUUAACUUGGAAACUGCCGUUGAUACUAUCAAUCUUGAAUAUCGCGUAGGUAAGCGGAAUAUGUCAUGUAGCGGUGAAAUGCUUAGAUAUGACAUAGAACACCAAUUGCGAAGGCAGCUCACUUCACGAUCAUUGACACUGAGGCACGAAAGCGUGGGGAGCAAACAGG